UCCCUUUUUCUUUCAUUAGAUGUGGCACUUUUCAAUAGGGCAUUGACUUUUAUUUCUAAAAACCUUAUUCCCCACUAGACAUGAGUUCCAGAGCAAAAUUUAAAAUAAUCAAUCCAUUUUGAAGGGUAAAACGUGCGAGCAUAAAUAUAAGAAGUAGCAACAAUUUGUUUAUUACAACAACACAUACACAUGGAUCCUCAUGAAUAGAUGCCUCUUUUACUUGUUUAAGCUCGAUCCAUGAGAACCCUAAUAAUACUACACAUGAUUUGACAUCUUGGUUAGUGAAUCAUGGCACAUCAAUUCUUCAUGAAAUAGGUAUGAAAUUUGAUGCCCCAACAAAUUUGUGGACUAUUAUAUUUAUUAUUGAUGUAUAGAAAGUGUAUAAAAAUAGGUAUCAGUUAGUAAAAUUUAGUUUAGUAUGUAUAAACAUUUUUACUAUAUGAAAUAGGUAUGAAAUUUGAUACCUCAAAAAUUUUAUGGAAUAUUAUAUUCUUUAUUGAUGUUUAGAAUGCAUAUAAAUUGGUAUCAAUUAGUAAGUUUAAUUUAAUAUGCGUAGAUAUCUUACGGUAUGAAAUAUGUAUGAAAUUUGAUAUUCCAAUAAAAUUGUGAAUUAUUAUAUAUUUUAGAAAGUGUAUAAAAAUUGGUAUAAAUUAUUAUUGUAGGUAUUAAUAUUUUACUAUGUGAAAUAGGUAUGAAAGUAGAUACCCCAACAAAUUUGAAAUUAUUACAUCUUUUAUUGGUGUUUAAAAAGUGUAUAAAUUCCCAACUACCCAUGAGUAAAGAACAACAAAUUGUGUAUUAUUUUUAAAAAGUGUAUCAAAUAUUAAAUUUACUAUAGUAUAUAUAAAUGUUUGUAUCCAUAUUCUGCAUUGAAAUGUUUUGCUGGAAUGAUCUUUGUGUACACAAAGAAGGCCACAACCAAUAGUUGGCCCAACCCAAAUGAUCCAAUGUCCAUCCCAAAGGUGACCUCCUCUAAUAAGCGCGGGCCCCAACACCUCGCCGGAUUAAUCCCCGCCCCUCCAUAGCCCUUUUUCCCGGUGACCGUGGUCGAGAUAAACACUAGAAGGCCUAACACUACACCAACAAUGGACAAGUCCAAGAGAACCCUAAUAAUACUACACACAUGAUUUGAAUAUCUUGGUUAAUGAAUAAUGGCACAUCAAUUCUUCACAACCUUAGAGCAUUGCUUAUUAACAAAGUCCUUAACCUCAAGAAUAAGUUGUGUAGCUUCAGGAACCUCAGGGAAAAUGUAGAAAGCAUGCACCAUAGUUGGAUACUCUGAGAAGUGAACAUCUUUGCCAGACCUCUUAAGCCAGUCAUAGUACCUCCUUUGCCAAUCUUUAAGGGGAUCAAAACCACCCACGACUACCAUCGUUGCUGGAAAAUUGUCCAGCUUUGAUAUGUCAACAGCCCUUGGACCGCAAACAUUAAUAACCUCAUGAUCGCGAUCCAUCCCUUCACCUGGUGGAAGGAACGCGUUCCACAUCCAAUCUGUUCUUCUCACUGAUAUCAAUGCGUCAACUUCUACUAGUUUUAAUUCUGAUUCCGUUCGUUCCUCCCCUCCAAAAAAGGGUUGUAUAGCCACCAGUCCAAUUACCUAGAGCACAUAAUCCAGAAUCAGGGGAAUUUGUCCCUUCAGUUUAAUAUGCGUAGAUUUUGGGCAAACAGGGUAUAUUCAUUUUUAAAAGUAGCACUAUUUCAUACUAGUGAGUAGUGACAUUCAAAAUAAAUACUCAAUCUGUUUGUCUUACUUUUACAGGCAAAUUCCAUGUAAUUUGUGGGCGUGGCGAGAAGUCUAUAAUUAAAAUCAUGCACGCAACCAACUGUAACGUGAAAAAGUGCAGAGGUGGUAAGGUUUGAUUGUCAAAGGAAGAAAAUUAUGUACUAGACUCUAGAACAAUUAAUGAUUCAGAUUAACUUUCUCACGAAUUAUUAUGUUUUGUUUAGAGGCCACAUGUCUAUUUAUUUUUUCAAAAAUAGAUACUGAGCCACUUUUGCUCAAUUCCUCUCUUUCUGAGGAAUAAUUGGUUAAUAUAAUGAUCAUCUGCUAGUAUGUUUCUUUGUACUAACAUAAUUACUAAUUUAAUUUUUAAUAUUAUAUUUGGUUAUAUAAUUGUAAUUAUUAAAUUAAAAUAAAAUUUAAUUUUACAACCACCCCAUCGAACUCUGUAGGCCGGAUUUGAAUUUUGGAUUUUUCCUGAACUGGACCAGUCUGGCCCCUCUUUAUACCUAAUUUCAUUUAGGAUGAUGAAUUUAUAAGUAAGAUCUUUAAAUACUUCUGACAAAAUAUGCUCCUAUUACCUUUAAUAAUAUUAAUGGUGCCUGCUAAAAAGUCCUAACUUCAACAGUAGAAUUUUAUUAAUGUCAAACAAACUACUCCUUUGUGAAAAAUGUGUAGAAUUUCUACUUCUAAGUUCUAAACGCAAAUAAAAGUUUUUUUACAUUAAUGUAUUGAACGAAGUUAAAUCACUACAACGUGAGUAGUUAUUAAGCCAAAGAAAUUGAUCUAAAAAACGAACUAAUAACUAAACCCAAGAUAACUUUGAAUGCUUAAAAUAAAAAUAGAGAUAAUUAUGAUAUUUUGUUUCAAGUAUUAGGAAGCGCUUAAUACUUUACUUUUAUCCAAACCAGAAAAAAGGAGAAAUAAUAUGGUGGAAAAGACCAGAAAAAAGGAGAAAUAAGGCGGAGAAAAUAACUGUUUGGUGAGGGUAUGGUAGAAAAGAUAUUAAUUAAUGGAAAUAAAGAAAUAUGAUAGAGAAGAUGACUGUGUGGGUAUGGAUUGUGGUGGAAAAAACAAUAAAAAUAGAGGAAUAUGAUGGAGAAAAUGAUUGUGUGGAGAUGCUUUUAAUUUGUCAAAAUCUUAUUUUUAAUUACUUGGAUAAAAAAAAAUCACAUGUCAUUUGGUCAUUGGUUACUCUUUUUUUUAAAAUGUAUUUUGAUCUUAUUUUUUCGGGCAUUAAAUGAGUUGACAUGAUCUAAUUUAAUAUUUAAUCUAUAAUUAACACCUACUUAGAAUUUAGGAGAUUGUAAAAAAAUGACAAAAUGAUAUAGUGAAGCCUAGUAUAUUGUGUCAAAAACAAUUAAAAUAUCUAAAUAAAAAUUGAUACCAACUUUAAGUAGAUAUUGAUGUUUCGGUUUUUAUUGAAAAUGACACAAUCAUUAAAAUUUAAAACGAUAGAAAAGUUAGGCAAUACAUAAAUUAGUGACGUGACAAAUGUAUAUAGGCAUGGAAUAUAAGUAGAAAAAUGGAGAGAAAGAGGGACCAUACCUUCAAAGUUUUUUUACAUUAAUGUAUUGAACGAAGUUAAAUCACUACAACGUGAGUAGUUAUUAAGCCAAAGAAAUUGAUCUAAAAAACGAACUAAUAACUAAACCCAAGAUAACUUUGAAUGCUUAAAAUAAAAAUAGAGAUAAUUAUGAUAUUUUGUUUCAAGUAUUAGGAAGCGCUUAAUACUUUACUUUUAUCCAAACCAGAAAAAAGGAGAAAUAAUAUGGUGGAAAAGACCAGAAAAAAGGAGAAAUAAGGCGGAGAAAAUAACUGUUUGGUGAGGGUAUGGUAGAAAAGAUAUUAAUUAAUGGAAAUAAAGAAAUAUGAUAGAGAAGAUGACUGUGUGGGUAUGGAUUGUGGUGGAAAAAACAAUAAAAAUAGAGGAAUAUGAUGGAGAAAAUGAUUGUGUGGAGAUGCUUUUAAUUUGUCAAAAUCUUAUUUUUAAUUACUUGGAUAAAAAAAAAUCACAUGUCAUUUGGUCAUUGGUUACUCUUUUUUUUAAAAUGUAUUUUGAUCUUAUUUUUUCGGGCAUUAAAUGAGUUGACAUGAUCUAAUUUAAUAUUUAAUCUAUAAUUAACACCUACUUAGAAUUUAGGAGAUUGUAAAAAAAUGACAAAAUGAUAUAGUGAAGCCUAGUAUAUUGUGUCAAAAACAAUUAAAAUAUCUAAAUAAAAAUUGAUACCAACUUUAAGUAGAUAUUGAUGUUUCGGUUUUUAUUGAAAAUGACACAAUCAUUAAAAUUUAAAACGAUAGAAAAGUUAGGCAAUACAUAAAUUAGUGACGUGACAAAUGUAUAUAGGCAUGGAAUAUAAGUAGAAAAAUGGAGAGAAAGAGGGACCAUACCUUCAAUGCAUCAAAGGUCGACGUCAUUUCAGAUGCUCGCUUAGCCACGUGAUGAGCGAGGUUCCCGCCGGCACUAUCUCCGGCAAGGAAGCAGCGAGACAAAUCGACAUUUUCCGGCAAUAGCUCACGGUUCUUCUCAUUGUCAAGGAACUUCAGCACAUCAAAUCCAUCAUCAUACUGCGCAGGAUACUUGUGUUCCGGAGCUAACCGAUAAUUAACAGAGACAACAACAGCCGGGGUUUUCCUCGCGAAACGUCGGCAUACGGCGUCGUACGCCUUCGUAUCCGGGCUGAGAUACACAAAUCCGCCACCGUGAAAGAAGACGAUGAUCGGAAGUGAACUCAAAUUCCGAGAUUCAUCUGUAGUUGGAAUGAAGAGGCGAAACCAGAGAUCGCGAGAAGAAUCUACAGUGACGUCGUAGGAUUUAACGCCGUUAACUGGAUUUGGAUUGGCGGAAGUUUUAAGGCCGAAGAUCCCGAGUAGCCGGCGGUUAACGGUGCCGUUUUGACGGCGAGAAUAGUCGGUAAUUGUAGAGACGAAGGAUAGUGCAAUUCGUGUCCUCCAAGGAAUUCCCGGAGAUGAUUUCUUCUCUUGUUGCGCCAUAGAUGAUGAAAGAAAAAAACGGAGAGAAAUCGUGAUGUGUGGAAGCAGAAAAAUCAGUUGUGAAGAAAGCACAAUAAGUAAGAUUUAAGAGCCUGUUUGGCCAAGCAGUUGGGGAGUCCAAAAAGCAAAAAAAAAAAACAAAAGGUAUUUACUUUUUUAAGAAAUGAGGUGAUUGACAAAUUAGUGAAAUCACUUUUUAAUAAAAAUAGAAGCCGUUUUUUUAGGUUGGAACGAAGAAAAAAAAUCAAUUUAGAAAUUUUUAUUUUUAUUUUUAUUUUGAAAAAUAGGUGAGUCACUUUUUAAAAAAAAUAAAAAAUAAAAAAUAAAAAUUGUGGGUUAAGCUAAACCCGCCCCACACGGCUCCAUUGCCAUCCCUAUCCCCCAACUUAGGUUACAUGCCCACGUUGAAAAUAGGUGAGUCACUUAUUUAUUUAUUUUUUAGUGUUUGAUAAGUAAGUAAGAAAAUAUUAUUUUAAAGACAUUUACAUCAUAGGGGGAUCCAGGAUUUAGAGUCUAUGGGUGCCAAAUAGACUCAUCGACUAAAUCAACUUUAUGUUUGAUUUGAAUUAUUCGUCUUUUUUGAUCUAUGUGACAACUCAAUCAAUAAAAUAGGAUUAAACAACAAUUAUAAAAAAAAUUUAUGAAAAAAAAGAGCUUGUAGGCUAUUUAUGAAAAAAAAUUAUGGUAGUUGAGGCUUGAAUUUCAAGAAUAAAAAGAUAUCAUAUAAAUUGAUAGAGUAUGUAUAUAUGUAGGAGUUUAUGGAUGAUUUUUUAUUUUGGGUUACAUGAAAAUAGUACCAAGACUUAUAUAAUUAUUUGUCAAGAUUAUUGAUGAUCUUUCCGUUAUAUUUUCUUGUUGGAGAAUAUUUGAUGCAUUUAAGUGUUUAUGAAAUUAUGAAAUUAUUGAGAAGAGAAAAAAAUAAAAUUAUACCCUUUUCUUUUUUUGUAUUAGUUAAUAACUUUUUUUACGCGUUCUUUAAAUAAUUAUAAAUAAAAAUGAUAAUUUACUAUUUUACUCUUUAAGAUAAUUUUUUGCAAUUUUUUACAAAUUUUGGUUACACUUUCAAGAAAAAUUAAUUGUUAGUGUAAUGAAAAUAAAAAAAAUAUUGUUUAAUUUUGUUAAUUGACAAAUAUUUAGUAAUGUAAAUGAUUAAUAUAGGAUAGAAAAAAAUAUCAAAUGUUAGAAGUGGGAUGAAUUAGGCUAAAUUUCAUACUUAUAGACUAAUUAAAGAUAAGGAAAGUAGCAAAAUAAUUUGAAAUAAUGGCAAAAAAAAAAAAAAAAAAAAAAGGUCGAAACGUUGAUUAUGAGAGGAGCCUUAAACGUUUCAACAGUUUUAAAAAAAAGAAAAAAAGUAAAAUGUUAAGCGAAUUCAAUCCCACGACCUAAGGCUCAAGUAUUCAACCUUUUACUAUGGGUGACACGUAUAUUAUUUAUCUAUAUGUUGUAUAUAUAUACCUAUAUAUACAUAAAGUUUUCAUCGAAGCUUGUGGGUAGUGUGGCACCCCCAUCAUCCUGAAUAGAUCUGCCCUUCAUUUACAUGUUAUCUAGCUAAACGUUAUCCAAGCGAAUAAGGAUAGGGAGUGGGGGAGUAGGGGUUUUGGGGGGGAGAGUAUGUGAUGGUCAAGGGGUGUGGGUUGUGUGUUGGUGGGAAGGGAGAGAAACGAUAAAUUUGAAAUGUUAGUAUACAACUUUUUUUUCAAGUAUCAUAAGUUGAUUAAAUAGUUAACUAUAUAAUAAAUAAAAAGACAUUUAAAAUAAGGGAAUUUUAGACGAUUUUCAUAGUGUUAAGAGCUAAUUACAUUAUAUUUCUAUUCUUUUUCAAAUUACAAAAAAUCCUUAAAUUUGGUGGAAUUCGGAUACAUCCCCAAACGUCCCGGUACAUCGCAUCUCGAUUUCUGAUACAUCGUUCAAUGCCCCGAUACAUCGCGUCUCGGUUUCGGAUACAUCACUCAACGUCUCAAUACAUCGUGUACAUCCUGAUACAUCGCGCAAAGUGAUGUAUUCGACCCCAAUACAUCGCGUAAAGUGUUGUAUCCGAUCGAUACAUCGCGUAAAGUGAUGUAUCCGAGAAUAAAGAGAGUAGGAAUUCUUGUAAUUUUUCCAAAUGGUGAAAUUUUUUAGAAAAUAAAGUAAAACAGGUUGUGUAUUUAAGUAAUUUUUUCAUAUAAAACAACCAGAUCUUUUAUAAAAGAGAGAGAAACUUGUUGAAACAACAUUUUACAUCGAGUGGUACUUGGUACCCAAAUUCUAUUACACAUUUAUUAUUGGCCCAUAAAAAGGAAACCCAAAACUAAAUGCAUCUGGGCCUUUAUACAUUCGACCCAAACAAAUCCUUAACAACUCCAACAAAAUCAUGCUUGUAUCCAUAUUUUGCCUGGAAAUGUUUUGGUGGAAUAAUCUCUGUGUACACAUAAAAGGCUACACCACUAAUAGUAGGCCCAAUCCAAAAGAUCCAAUGUCCAUCCCAAAGGUGACCUCCUCUAACAAUCGCGGGCCCCAAACACCUUGCUGGGUUCAUCCCUACCCCGGCGUAGCCCCUUUUCGAGGUAACCGUGGUUGAGAUAAACACUAGAAGGCCUAACACUAGACCAACAAUGGACAAGGCAGUGACAAGGCCUAGAGCCUUAGCUUGUCGAUGAUCAUAAGCCAUCCAAAUUGAAGCAAAGAAUAAAACAAAUGUACAAAAGAUCUUAAGCCACAAGGCUUGGGCCGUCUCUAAGGCCAAAGUAACAGGACCAUUUGGUCCCGGUGCAAUUACUGUGAUAGUGCAACCACCAAGUGAGAAAUUGUCUUCAAUGGUUGAAUUAACCACUGCUUUGAGAGCUAGUGCACCUAAAACAGCACCAAGACAUUGAGCCAUAAUGUAAAUUAUGGCUCUUGACAUAGAUAUAAUUCCGACUAGCACAGCUGAGAAGGAGAUAACCGGGUUGAGAUGGCCUCCGGACACUGGAACAACCGUCAGGUAGGGGUGUACAUGACCGGGUUGGUUCAGGUUUUUCAAAUAUCAAACCAAACCAUUUGUGUAAAAAAUAAUAAUUUAUAAACCAAACCAAACUAAUAAAAUUCAUAUUUUUUUGGGUUUUUCAACCUCGGGUUGGUUCAAGUUUUUCAAAUACCAAACCAAACCAUUUUGUCGAAUUUUUAAAUUUAUAAAUCAAACCAAACUAAUAAACCUCAGAUUUUUGNNNNNNNNNNNNNNNNNNNNNNNNNNNNNNNNNNNNNNNNNNNNNNNNNNNNNNNNNNNNNNNNNNNNNNNNNNNNNNNNNNNNNNNNNNNNNNNNNNNNNNNNNNNNNNNNNNNNNNNNNNNNNNNNNNNNNNNNNNNNNNNNNNNNNNNNNNNNNNNNNNNNNNNNNNNNNNNNNNNNNNNNNNNNNNNNNNNNNNNNNNNNNNNNNNNNNNNNNNNNNNNNNNNNNNNNNNNNNNNNNNNNNNNNNNNNNNNNNNNNCUUAGUGUUGAAUUGAUUUUCUUUUUGCAUUAGUAUUAAUUUGAUUUUGAUUUAAGUUAUAUUAUAAUUAUCAACAUCUAUGAACUAUAAUCUUUAUUGGACCAUUCCGAAUUCUAAGUUUUAAACUUGAAAUAAUAUAUUAAAGGAUAAAAACUAUGAAAUAGUAUAAGAAGUAUUUUAAAAUUAUAUCAAAGUAAAUAAUUUUAUGUAUAAAAUAAAAUUUUAAAAUUACAUAUAUAAUGUCGAGUUGGUUUGGUCUCGGGUUGGUUUUUUUAAGUUAAAACCAAACCAACCCACAUAUAGUCGGGUUUUUUUCCAAUACCAAACCAAGUCAAACCAGGUUUUUUUUCCGGUUUGACUCGAUUUACGAUUUGGUUUGAUUUUCGGUUCGAUUUUGUACACCCCUACCGUCAAGAGUAAAAUUGUGAGCACAAUUGCUAUGAGAAUUGACAUGAUCAAAUUUGACAUCUUCAUGUCAGUUUCCGAAAUAGAGAUACCGCUGAGCCUAGGAGUUCUCCCAUCGCUCGCCAUACCUACAUUAAUUUUUUUAAAAUUUUUAGGCACUGACAAAUAUGGUCAAUUAAUUAGUGAUUCAAAUCAAAAUAUAUUACUAACAUCCAAAGAAAAGAAGUCAGGAACGCCCGGUCUUUGAGAGAGUGAGAGAAAAUUUUGCUUCUUUCCGCCAUCAUCAAUAGUAUUCCUAAUUAUAGGGAGUGAGAUAAUAAAUAUUAGUUGAGUGACCAUCUGAGAAAAUCAAACUUGACAAAAAUAAAGAAAAGAUGAUAAUAAAUGAAACAAGAAAUUAAUUUCACACAUACUUUUUUGGUGUGGAAGAGUAAGGUUGAACUCUAUUAGUACCACCAGAAAGCUGGCUUUCUUCAUCACCGAAAAAAACAUUACUGUUGGAACCCAUUUUUUAGGAGAAAACUAAGAUAGUUACGAGUAUUUAUCUUAAGCUUUUAAUGCAUUUUCCCUGAAAUAUUGUGCAUGGAUAUGGGGUUAUAAAUAUUCCUUUCCAACUACCACUGCCUAACCUAUCUUUUUGUUGUUACUAAAAUACAAGAAAAGAAAGAAAGUUACGUCUACGUAUAUAUCAAGCAAAGGAGACCAAUUUUACUGGAGGAGUCAAUUCAUUUUGUUAAAUAUGCACUAUUGACACUCAAACUGUUAAUACUCUUAAAAAGUGAAAAUAAGAAGUUCGUAAAAGAGGUCAUUCCUUUCCUUCGUAACUUCAAGCUUAUAUAUAGGCAGAUACUUAACAAACUAGUUCCACUAAAAUAGGGUAAUAGGAUCCUUGUAAAGUAUUAGUGUGUAGUUAAGAAUUAACUAAUAGAAUGAGGGGUCAUUUGGCCAUUUUCUCAAAAAUAUGUGAAAUUUUCAUCGUUGUUGUAAAACUUAAGAACAAAAGAUCAAUAUAAAGAUAAAGACAAGAAGAAUAUAAGACAAGGGGAACAAUAUAAGAUAAUUUCUUUCUUUCAAGUGUUUACCAAAUCUUCAAGUGUAUACAAUGUGAACUUGUAUACUUCUAUUUAUAGUGUAACAUAGAGGCAUAUAAAAGGUUGGUCAUAAACAUGACAUUAAUCAUGAAUAUAAUGGAGGAGGUUAUGGAGAUGUAGUGUUACAAGAGUAAUGUUUAUAAAGGUAGAGGUUAUGGAGGUUAUGGUUAUCUUCAUAAUGGAGGAAAUUUAUGGAGAUAAUGGGUAAGAGUAACUUCUAGGUGUAGUGGACAUCCACACUACAAUAUUUUAUAACACUCCCCCUUGGAUGUCCAUAGAUAAUAUGUCUCGUUAAAACCUUACUAGGAAAAAACCAUGUGGGAAAAAAUUCCUAGUGAAGAAAAAAGAGUACAUAAAUUUUUUAAUACGCUUUGAAUGUUGUCUCGUUAAAAACCUUAUCAGGAAAACCCGGUUGGGAUAAAAUCAUGGUUAAGGAAAAGAGUACAACGCGUAUUUUUCUCCCCCUGAUAAAAACUUUACUUGAUAUCUCAGAGACGAUGCAUUCCAAUAUUAUAUUACAACUUCUCAAAUAUUGAUGUUGACAAUCCUUAGUGAAUAAGUUUACAAGAUUAUCACUUGAAUGAGUCUUUGAACGUCUAUCUCACCAUUUUGUUGAAGAUCAUGUAUGAAAAAGACUUUUGGUGAAAUAUACUUUGUCUGAUCUCCUUUAAUUGUAUCCUCCCUUAAAUUGAGCUAUAUAUCAUUUUCGUAUAUGGUGGCUGAAAUAUCAUUUUAAAAAGAAAAUCACAUAUUUUAUGAAUAGGAUAGAUCAUGAUUACAACCAAACACACUCUCGACUUACUUCAUAGAUCAAUAUUAUUUCUGCAUGAUUUGAAGAAGUGGUUACUAAUGUGAUUCUUUGAAUUUCCAAGAUAUUGUUGUGUCUCCAUAUGUAAAUAAAUAGUCCAUUUGUGAUCGAGGUUUAUGCAGAUCAAAUAAAUAUUUUGCAUCUACAUAAUCAAAUCAUUUCUGACUAGGGGAUUGAUCAUUUCAAUUUUAUUGAAGCUCGUCUUUUCUUCUGAAAGAAAAUCACAUAUCUUUUAUGUGUUGAGUCACUUGCUUUGUUAGUUUCUUGUCAUAACUUGAAUAAUAAUAUGACAAUCAUUUCACAUAACUUUCGUUAUGUAUAUCAAAUAAUCUUCUAGCAUUUUCAUAACCAGCAAUCUAUUAGUGCACCAAUUGCACUAAUACAUGACAUUUUAAAUCAUUUUCAUGAGAUAAAAAAGAUUUUUUCUCUGUGUUAAGCAGUCUCAAAACCAUUGGGUACUCAAUGGAAUUGCUUUAAGACCUUUUAAAUCCUUUAAGGAUUUUCAUAAAACCGUCAUCGUCUAGUUAGACAUAAUAAUCAUUCAUUAUGCAUAUUCAAGUAUUUCAUCUAUUGCUAGACUGAAACAAGUCUCAUUGCAUCCACCACUGGAGAAUAUAUAUCCAUUUAAUAAUGUCAGAAUUUUUGCGAAAACCCUUUAUGCCACAAGGCACAAACCUCACUUUAUAUCUUACGGUUAUACUUUCGCACAAUGAUUCAUUUGUACCACACUGACAUUAUAUUUUGAUCCAUGAACAAUAAGAUAAAAAAACACCACUUUUCUAAGUGAAAUAAAAUAUACUUGAAUAGUGCCAAUCAUUUAUCUGUCCACACUAAAUGACAGAUUCGAAUUUAAGAUCCUCGUACCCAUUUAUAACAUUGAGUGUUACUUCAUAUGAAAGAUACCGUCGACAGUCAUUUUGAUAUCAAUUCCAAUAUGACAUAACUUAUCGAGAUCUCUUCAUUUUUCAUCAUUUUCAUGUACCUUUGCCAAGGUACAUGAACCUUUGCCAAGGUUUUAUGAAGCAUUAUGUCAUAGUGCUCUUUCAAAGCACUUACCUCAUUAUCAUGACCAUUUUGAUAAUUUCCUCCUCUCCUUCCUCAAGGAGUUUUACGUUUGGAAUCGAUUGGUAUACCACGUAAUUUAUAGCGUACCAUAGACUAUGUCCUUCAAGGACUAUUUAUUAGAGCAUUUGCAGCUUAAUUAAAUAUUGGGCCAGAAAAUACAUCUGGCAAAUUAUUUGCAACAUUUUACAAAUGAAUUAUCUCUUGAACUUCAAGUUCACUUUUUUUAACAAGGAUCUAGAUAAUUCACCCCAUACAUAAUUUUUUGCUGCGAAACAUAUCUCCCCCUAAUGUUAGGAAAUCUAACAUUUACCCCCAACCUCAUUUGGGGAUCCAUCUUUGUGUGUGGUAGAGCAAUAAAAUCAUAUCUGCACACAUCAAAUUUUAGAUGGAAAUUAUUUGGUUCCUGACUCUGAACCAAUUGUGAUGGGAGAACCUUGUUGGCUUGAUGCAUACAUGUUAAAUAAAUUCAUCUCAUACCAAAUUUUAUUUGAGAGAUUUGUUCUCAUAAUCAAUGGUGUAGCUAUAAUUGGAGGCAAACAAUUUCUGCUAAACCAACCAGUAUUAUCAACAUAAUUUUAUACUUUGGAAUUGUGCUCUUAAUUUAAUAAUUCGAGUAAACAACCUUACAAAACCAAUUUGUAAGUUGAUACAAUGCACAUGUGACCAUACCAUAGAUGUAUCUAUUAAAUCAUAAUAGUAAGCGGUCCACAUGACAGGUGAACGGGCUCAUAUUCACCUUUUUAUAUGUUCCAAAUAAUUUCAGGGGAUACAAUCUCAACCUUAGUUGGUACAAUGAUCAUUUUAUCAUGAAAACAAGCAACACAAGAGAAUUCUUGAAGAAUCUUUUAUUUCUACAAAAAUAUAGUCACAUAAACUCUCAAUUUCUUUUGCAACACAUUUUAAUCGAAAUGGCCAAUCGAUUAUGCCAACUGAUAUUUAUUCUAGUAACCUUGUAGUUUACUUUUGCAUGUGAUUCCAUCAUCAUGCCUAUAUUUGUAUACAACAAACAAGAGAAAGGCGGGUAACCUUUUAUGUAAAUAUUCAUAACCCGCUUUGAUUGUAGUAAUUUGAAGAUAUUUAAUCUUUUAAUAAUUUACAGUCUCAAUAUAAUAUUUUUUCAAUUCCUCUGAAACUUAAAAAGUUUCUUUUGAGACUUACUACAACCUCAAUAUUAUGAAUUAUUUUUAUUUCUGGAUAGUAACAAAUUAGUUCUUCCGAAAUUCUUAAUUAAGUUUGUGUACUGCCACAAAUUUCACAACACCAUUCUUAUGGUGACCAUUUCCUUCAAGGAGAAAAUUAUUAUUAUUGUCAUGGUUAAAACUAUUACAUGCAAGACUUAUUUCUUGACAACCAAUGACAAAUUUGUGUUGCCACACAACAACAUUUAUUUUGGUCAUGACCAUAACCUUUAUAGAAAAAAAAUAUUUCUUUCUUUGUCCUCCAAUAGUUCAUAAUAAAACAUACCACAAUAUUUGUGUAGUACUCAAAGUAUAUGACCAAAAUGACCAUUUAUGUCAAAAUAUUUAUUUUCAAUAUCUCAAACCUCCCGCAGAGGUGAGAUGUGACAUUUAUCCAACCAUACAUGAACAUGUCCUUAUCCAUACGAACACAAGUCACAUUCUCUUCAAGAAAUGAACCACAACCAUUUGUAUAUGCUCCAUAAGUUUUUAUCAGAAACUCAUUGUCAUGCUUUGGCAUUAUCAAAUUUAUGUGACUUACCUCAACAUCAUUUUAAGAGGUCAAAUGUAUUAAAUGUACUACCACUUUGUAUUCCUUUAUUUUGAUGGAGGAUUUUCAAAAACUUUCAAAUUGGGUUGCACUAACCCAAUGUGCCCAAUAACCUUUCAUACCACUUUGAUGGCCAAAAAUUACCUUCACAUUUGAAGGACCAUCUUAAGAACCCAUAAUGUUCUUCCUUUUAAUUACCACAAUUGACCAUUAUCAUUUACCACACUCAUAUUCAUACAUUUAACCACUUGUCAUUUUCAGGACACAUUAUGUCCUGCUACCACAUUCACAUAAGAGAAUGGAGCAAAUCAAUUGGACAAACUUCACGACUUAUAUCAAGAGCAUAUCAAUUUGCUCGGUCAUUAUUACAUACUCAUUAGAUAACGUUGGGACUUGAACCCAACGUCUUACCCACAAGAAGGCAUUUUAGGUCAUUAUUUGUUGGGACCCAACCCAAUAUUUUAUUAUCAUGAUGCACUAGGAUUCUCACCCGAUGUAUUAUAUACCCUCUUGGUGCGAUCGGACUUGAAUCAUUCGUGUUAUCCUUAAUCAAUGAAAUAAUAAGCCAAAUAUAAUAGGACUCACCAUUGAGCCUUAAAAAAUAUUGUCACUUUGUGAUUAACAUGCACAAAUAAAUAUAGAACAAAAGAAACACAAUAAAAAUAUUCUCAACAAAUAUGUACUAAUAUCUUAAACUUGUCAAAACAAAAGUUACAUAUAGCAUCAUAUUAUAUUAUAUUUGUUGCACGAUAAUUAAGCUAGUGAAUUACCGUUAUAAAUCAAGGAAUAAAUUGCACACUAAGAAAUUAAUAAUUACAAUUACACUAAAAUAAAACUGCUCACUAUCACCACCCCUUUUUCAAUUUCCAUGUGAACCAAAAAAAUUUCACACUGUAACAUCUCGCUAAUUGAAAGAACUAGAAAGAGUUAGAAUUGGAAAUAGUCAUUUUAGGAAGGAAUGAAAAAACUGGAAAUUUGUUAAGUUAUGUUAAGUUAUGUUAAGUUUGGGUUUUUGGUCAACUUCAAACAACCAUAACUCCUAGAUCAUUAUGAAUUAGGUGUGCUUCCAGAUACCGUAGGAAAUAUCUUGGAAUUAUCUUUCCAACGCCGCUGAGUUUGUGCGAUUCCAAGUUCGUAUAAGUGAGCUAUGUCCAUUGGAAGUUGGGUUGUUCGAAUAAGAAAAGUGUAAUCCGGAUUUUGGAAGGGUAGUUUGGUCUUUUCCUUACCAAAUUACUUUAUUUCAUUUUUAGGAGUUUAAUUGGGGUCUAACGGAACUUGGUCAGUUUACGCUUUGGAAAACUAAGUUAGGGUUUUGAGAAAAGAGAAAAAAAGAGGAGAAAGAGCAAGAAUCGUCGAGUUCUUCAAGAAUCGCUUGUGGAUUUCGUCAUGGGGUGAUCCCUAUGAGGUAUAUGAGACUUUCAUAACGUUGGGUUCGUUCAUCCACGUGCCAAGCAUGUUUAUUUCAGCGUAAAUUCGUCCAAAAAAGGUUGAAAGUUUGAUGUUCUUGAUAUGUGUUCAUGAAUUUGUCUUCGUUCUUGAAUUGGACUGAGAUUGAGAAGUUUUGAGAUUAUUGCGUCGAAUUAUGGAGUUGUUUUGAGUUAGGUUCUUAGGUACAUUUACUGGGUAUCUGAAUAUAAAGAGAAUUUGGGAAAAAGAACCGAGUUUAGGUGAAUUGGGCUGGAAAAUGAAGAAGAAAAAAGUCAGCCGAAUCUGGGUACAAGGUCCGCGACGCGGACCUGUUCCUUAGGAUGGGAGAAUUUCUCCUCGCGUCGCGGAUCAGUCACGGACCGUUCUGCCUCAAAAAAUUAUUUUCGCGACCAAAUAUUUAAAUACAUUUUCGCGUCACAGACUAGUUUUCAUACAGUGAUUUCUUGAUCUUUUCUCAUGUUUAACUAUCUAAAAAACACUCCUAGACAUCAUGAGAUCCUUCUUAUCACAAAUCACAAUCCUUGAAUCCAUAAUUCAAUUCAAGGAAAGUUAAGAGUCAAGUCAAGAGGUUAAGAGUUAAGUCAAGAGAAGUUCAUAAAGUAUUUCACAAACGUUUUAACUUUGUUUUAAGACUUAAGCUUUGAGUUGAGAAAAGAGGAAGAGUAAAGUUCAUUUCUUCAAAGAUUAUACAGGAACUAAGUCCCAAGAGUUAAAAAUGUUUUCACUUUUGAGCAAGAAGGGAAACACCGAUUUCCAAGAGAACUUUUAAGCUAAGUUUUGAGUAAUUAUCUCAAACCAAAGAAAGAAGUUUUGUUUUAAAAACAUAUGAGCUAAGUAUAUUUUGGGAGUAGUAUUGAGCACCGAUAUGGGAAUGCGAGUUCAUAAUAACUCAAGUCUCCAUAAACCAUGUAGUCAUCAUGGGUAGUAAAAGAUCAUACUUUUUAAAUGAUUCCUUAAGUGCUUUUUAGCAUAGACUAGUGGAUCCACUUAGUUAAGGCGUUCUAUAUGACGACAAAGUAUAAGACAGUUCUGACAGCGUGGGAAAGACGUUGUAUCACCACUUAGGCUCAAAGUAGUGGUUGUUAGUUAGAGAAACUCCCACAAUAUUACAUUACUUUAUUAUAUGAGUAAGUUGAGUUGCUAUUGCAUUUUCUUUAACAAACUGAGUUGUUUUCUACUGUUUUAAAAAGUUUUCUAUAUAUUGCAUGUGUAUUAUUGUUUUAUAUCGAGUUAAGUUAUUCAUGAGUUGAGUAAAGCCAAGGUAAGUGUUUCUUUCAGAUUCCUUUCAAGCUUAUGUUAUGUUUAGUAUUCCCCUUGCAUACGUGUACAUUCAAUGUACUGAUGCCAUUUGGCCUGCAUCAUUUUAUGAUUGUAGACACAGGUAAUCAGGAUCAGCAUCCAGGGCCCCGUUGAUCCAGUUAAGCACUCAGAGUCAGUUGGUGAGCCUCCUUGCUUUCCGGACGACUCCUUUUACUUUGCUUUCUAGUAUUUCAGUUGUUAGGAUGAUUGGGGGUCUUGUCCCGACAUCCCUUCUUGUUUUAGAGGCUUCAUAGACAAUUAGUAGUUCAAUUGUCUUUACAUUAUUAUUUCAUAUGUUAAGACUUGAGUUGCCAUUUUGACCAAGUUGAAUGUUUGACCUUUAAACGUUAUAAGAUAUUUUAUUAAACAGUUGAGUAGAAGUGCAUUUGAUCAUUGUAAUAAUGCUUAGAGUCUUCCGCUGAGUAAGUAAGCCAGACCAAUGGUUCGCUUGGGGCCAACAAUGGUUCUCGAGUGUCAGCCACGUCCGGGGUGUAGGCUCGGGAAGUGACACACACCCAAAACAAAAUCAAUUUAAAGCUUAUGUAAUAACCAAAACAGUGAGCAUAAUCAUAAAUAAAAUAUAAAAUAAGUUUCACAUACAAAAGAAAGUAUAUAUAGUCAUAGGUGGAAAAAAAUGCAUAGUAACAAUAGUAUUAAUCAUUCACCUUGUUCACAAGUAAAAUAUAAAAUAGAUUCCACAAUAAUUUACCUUGUUUUAGGGAGAAAAUAAACACAAUUAUUUUACCUUCUUUUAUUUACUUUGCUUCAAUCCUACAAUGGUAGAACAUUCGUGCUGAUAACAUGUUGUAAAGCUUAAAACAAAAGAACAAUAUAAAGAUGAAGACAAGAAGAAUAUAAGACAAGGGGAACAAUAUAAGAUAAUUUCUUUCUUUUAAGUGUUCACCAAAUCUUCAAGUGUAUACAAUGUGAACCCUUAUACCUCUAUUUAUAGUGUAACAUAGAGGCAUAUAAAAGGUUGGUCAUAAACAUGACAUUAAUCAUGAAUAUAAUGGAGGAGGUUAUGGAGAUGUAGUGUUACAAGAAUAAUGUUUAUAAAGGUGGAGGUUAUGGAGGUUAUAGUUAUCUUCAUAAUGGAGGAAAGUUAUGGAGAUAAUGGGUGAGAGUAACUUCUUGGUGUAGUGGACAUCCACACUAUAUGUAAAAUUGGAGGUAAUAUUUAAUUGUGUUAAUCAAUAAAAAACUUUCUAAACUAAUUUUUCUCCUGUCCUGCUUUAUGUAAAAUUGUUAUUGUUUGGGUGGAGGGGGGUAGAAUAUUUUUAAAAAAAUUCUUUGACAAUGUGAUUUUCUCAAACUUUCUUUAAAUAUUUUGAGUCGUUAUUUAUGUUAACAUAGUAUGUUUCAUGUAAUUUCCAUUUUAAGAAAUUUGAAGAAAAAUCAGUAUAUGUAAAUUUAUAAUCAAAAUUGAGUGAGCUCCAAAGGCAUAGCUUGAGUGGCAAAAGGUGGAGGAUUUGUGACUUAGGUCACAGGUUCAAGCCCCACACCAUGCAAAUCAAGGUUGUGAUUGAUCCAAAGGGCGGUGGGUCACAGGCGGAUUUCUCGAUUAUCAAAAUAAAAAAAAAUCAAAAUUGAGUGAUUUAACUUUUGUAUAAUGAAUCCCUUCCCAUAAUUUAGGAGUAAUAAAAUAUCAUUUAUCUCUCUUACAAAAAGUCAAGUAUUUGGAAACUAAUUAAGUAAUAUGGAUAGACAAUUGAUGUUGAGAAGUGGAGGAAUGAUUUUUAUUUUUUUUUAAAAUAGAUACACCAAAUGUUAAAAUAUGUAAAUUAAAGAACACGUACAAUUGUGGAAAAUUAUUGUUAUGUAUGUAGAAAAAUCACAAGGGAAACUAAAUAUCCAAUAAUAGAGAUGGAGAUCAAAUAUCUUAUUUGACAGAGUGUGUCAUCAAUAUUUCCCUAUUUGUAUGGAAGUAUCAAUCAUGAGACUUGGGAUUUGCAUUGAUGGCUCCAUGAUAUGUGGUUUAAUAAAAGUCAUGUUCAUUCUAAGUGUAAAAUGUGUACAAUUAUUUCUUUUGUUUUAAUUUUUGUUCUGUAAUUUUUUUCACACCUCUUAAGAAAAUACUUCUACUUGUUCAUUUUUGACUUUGCACAAUUUUUAAGAAAUUAUAAAUAAAAGCGUAAUUUUACUAUAUCACACAUUUGAAUAUAAUAAAUACAAUAUCUUGAAAAAAUGUAAUAGAAAAAUCACUGUUAUUAAUAAUAAGGAUAAAUUAGGUACUAAGUGUAAAAUUAUUUAUUAAUUUCAUAAAAUUGACAAGUUUUAUUAAACAUCUCAAAAUAAUAUGGUGAAUAAUUGUUAUUGGAUGGAGGGAAUAUUUCUUUUAUUAUUCUUGAUUUUUGUGUUGCAUACUUCCGCACUAAUUCAUGCACCAAACAAGUUAUGAUGAUAUAAUAUAUUACUCUUAUAUACUUCAUUCAAUUUAGGUGAUGGCGGCUGAAUAGUGGAUAUAAGAUUUAGGAAUAAAAAAAAGAUUUUUUGAACAUGUCAAAACCUGUAGAUAUUUAUAUAAUUAUAUAUUAUCCUAUUAAAAAUAAAAUAAAAAAUUUAAAAUUAAACUAUUAGUACUAAAUAUAAAAAAAAAAAAUUAUUUUGAGACAGAUUAUAUUAUAAGAAAAAUCACCCCACAUAUAUAUUUAAGGAACAAUAUUACGGGUUUUAAAUCUACUUUUAAAAUAUUCUUGCUUAUAACAGUUUAAUUACGGGUUAUAACAGAUCACAUUUAUUUGAAAAUCAAUUAAAUUUUAUUUUAUUAAAUAAAUACUCUUUUAUAAGUUUAUAUUUAUUAUUAAAUGAUAUAAAUAAAUAAUCUACCAUAAUUAUCUCUUACACAUUUAUAGGGAUUUUACCUUGAUUCUUGUUUCUUUUUUAUUGUUACACAUCAACCCACACCCCUAAUGUCACCAUGCUUCUUCUAGUCAGCAACCCACCACCCCCAAAAAUGGACGUGAUGGCAUUCGUCUUAACCCACCAAGACAAGUCAGCCUAAAACCCAACUAUUACAAUACAAUGCGGAAAUUUUUAUAAUAAACUCAAAAAUACCCCUUAAAUCUGGUUGUUACAUGUACAAGCCUCUAAAGUAUUACAAUUGAAUCAAAAGAAAAAUACAAGUCUCAUAUGACAUUGUUUCUAGGAGUAAGAAGGUCUACUGAGUUGACAAACAACUACCUCACAAAUCUCUAAGAAGCCUCGAAAAAGAAGAGAAUAUAUUAUAAAGGUCCAGGCUAGUAACCUACAAAAAAAAAAUGUAGUAGCAAGGGGUGAGUACCAAACCACGCGGUACUCAGCAAGUAAACGUCUAAACACAAGCUAAGAGGAUAGAAUACGAGUACUCCUUACACCCCAACCGAACCUCCACAACUACAACAUACAUAAAAUCAGCCCAACCUAACAGUUCAUAAUUCACAUAGCACAUAUCUCAACAGCAACAUUCUAACAAUCACAUAUUCUCAACAACAAGCUCAAUAUUCACCAAUUAAAGUUCCACAGAAAGGCACUCACAAGAUCAGCAAAACACAAUAUCAAGUUCACUAAUGAUAAAUAUGAGCAAUGCAAUGGAAUGCAAUUUCAAGUAUAGUGAUGCAUGUCUGACCUAGUGAUACAUACCCCGCUGUCUCUCAGUCCGGGACCCAUGGGGAACAUAUAUGUCCAUGCAUCCAUCGCGGCGCGCGAUACGACCCUCGAUAAUAGUAACCAUCGCGGCGUGCUAUACGUCCCUCAAAAAAUUGUAUCCAUCGCGGCGCGCGAUACGUCCCUCGGAAUGGUACAUCCUCUUAUCACAUAACACUUAUCACAACCAUGUCUCAAAACCAAUGCAAAUGACAUGUUCACAUAAAUAAUGAGGAGAUGACCAUUUUUAUAACAAUACAUACAACUGUGAUACAACAUCAACAAUGAUUCAAUAAGCCUUUCAAUCCAGUCUCAAACAUCACACAUCAAUAAUUAAACACAUUGCCUUUUAUUACCCCUUUUUCAUCACUACGAAGUAAUCAAUAUGUACAAGUCAAUCCAUCACAAGUCUCAUUACCCCCAAACACAUAUCACAAGGAAAUACACGAAUUUCAUACACUUAACAUGGGUUUAGAAAUCCACUUGCCUCAAAUAGUCGAACAAUCACUUUGGGACUUGAAUCUUCCCUUUUGCUGGACUUCCAAAUCAAUACAAUCUAUUCAAAUAGAUAACCACAAUAAGAUUUCGAAACUAACAACACCCAUAUUACUAUAGGUCUAGCGUAGACCCAAAAUCUCAUACAAACCUAAAAUCAAGUUCCUAAAUUUUGAUGUCCAUUAACAUGUCAAUUCUCAUGUUUUUUUUCAAAUUUCAAGGCUAGGGUUAAGUUCCAAUAUAUCAAACCUUGAAUCAUAAUGUAAUAAGCUUAAGAAAAUUCUUAACAGAAAUUUGGAUAAUAAAUUACCAAGAUAAUAUGUUAAUUCACCAUAACUAUCAAUUGGAAAACUGAAACCCUUUUGAACUAAUCCACUCACACUAAUUACCUAUCUCCCAAUUCACUAUCUCAUGAUAAUGCAAAGAUAAACCCAUAAAUUAAUUAUUUUGUCUCAUAGGAGCCUAACAGGAACUUCAACCUACGCGAACAACAUACACAUACUAGUAAUAGCCAUUCCUACCAACCAAUCAUAAUCACCGCAAGUGCUACUAGGUAAUGAUUACCAAUUCACAAUUUUCUUUUCAUCAAACAGAAACCUUACCUCAAUUAUCCAUGAUGCCUUUUGGUAAAUAUGUGCCCGCCGCAACAGUUUUCCUCUUUUCGUUCGUGCUUUGACUCUCAAAAAUGUCAGCCUCAUUUAACUCUAAUUUACUCGUAUAUAUGGGCCAAAUGGUACUGAAUAUUCAAUAACUCAUGGACUUGGCCCAUUAAUUAUUAACUAAAAUACUGAUAUGAAAUUACCCACUAAUUAAAUAAUAAUAGAUACUCAGAUACUUCAAAAUUUCCAACCAACUUCACACGCUAAUUAUACGUGACUCGGGUCAACUAUCGAGAGGGCUAAAACGAUAAUUUUAUAUAAAGAAAAAUCAAAAAAUAACCUUCUGGGUCAUUAUACCAGGAGGACACCAAAAGAAUACCAAUUGGAAAUUACACUAACUAGUAUCUAUGUAACUUCAAUUGCAUACCAAAUGGAUACCAAUUACAUACCAGCAUUACUUAAUCAAUUGUUCACUAUAUAUUUGAAAAAUAAUGAACAAUUGAUUAAGUCAUACUGAUAUUUUGUCUUACAUUGUAUCUACUUGUAACGAUCGGGUUUCGUCUUUAUAGAAAAAAUCAAUGGGGAUAAUUUUGGGUUGGAAAUUUUUUUCGUAGUAGUUGGAUUUUUCCCAACCUAGUCCAGAUUUGGACGAAAUCGAAGUCCUUAAGGUGUAGGGAAAUUUGGUAACAAUCGGGUGAUUCAAUUAUGAUUUUGAUUACAUAAGUAGUUACAUAGCUCGUUAAAGAAUCUGUACGACUUUACAGAAUUGAAUUCGGGUGAGUAGAACUCCUGGAAUCAAUCUUGGCGUAAAGGGUAUUUUCUAAGUGUCGUUGGUUAGAGGUGUGUUGUGAAAUAAGAAUUUUGGAAUUUUUGAAUUAGCUCUCUGUCUCGCGUAACCCGCAUUGGCGCCCCUUUUUUCCCCUUUGGUGGGGCUGCUACAGCUGGGUGACGGCCGUUGUGGCGUGCUCGACGCAAAUUAAAGUCGUUAAUAAACCCCUAAACGACCUCAUUAUGCAUUUUUUAACGUUUAGAGCUAAGGAACGAACCUCAGGCGACUCCUACUCAUUUUUUCACCAUUCUUGAGGCUAAAGGUAAGAUUUUCACUCCCCAAAUCCAUUUUUUGAUUCGUAGAACGUAACAGAAUGGGUGAAUAUUGAUGGGGGAGGGGGGAUUUGUUGUAGAUUUUAUGGUGGAAACAACCCUAAUUUGGAUAAUUGGGAUCAUGGAUUUGAUCUAGGGUUCAUAUAAUUGUUAGUAAUCCGGGUAAUUAAUGAUUGUUUAUUGAUUCCUGUAUUAUAUUGAUUGUUUGUAGACCAAGAACAAGCAGAACGAAUCCAGAAAGGGAAGGAUCAAGUUUAUUAGGGUUUCAAGCUUGUUUCGAGGUAGGUGAUGGUUGUGAUUUUAUGAUUGUGUAAUGUAUGCUUGUUCUUGAUUCAUUAUGAUACUUGUAUAUGUAUGAAUGUUGCAAUGUUGAUCACACUUGUUGUAAAUAAGAUAUAUGAAUGAUGAUUGCCAUCAAAUCAUGACUUAAUUAUAUGAUCUUGAAGUUAUACAUGUGUUUGUGAUUGUGGUGUGUUGAAUGGAUCGGUUGCCACGUUCCGGCAUAAAAACACGUCCUGGCAUAACAAUGGGAUCGGGUACCACGUUUCUGUAUGCUAACUGUUUGGGUUUGGGUUCCAUGAGAGGACCAAUGAUGUGAUAUAAAAUGUGAAACUGAUCGUUAUUCGUAAAUGUUGAUAAUGUUGUAUACGUUGAUAUAUAUGCAUGUGAUUAUAUUGUUGUUUUGACUUGUUUAUGUUGCACUAGUGGGAUAGCCGCGUGAUCCUACUAGUACACUGUGGUUGUGUACUGAUACUGCACUUGCUCUUUUUUUUAGUACAGGGCAUCUUCAAGCGGCUGCUGACAGACCUCGCUGAGGAGAUCAGUGAUCGUCACUUCAAAUUCAAGGGUGAGCCAAUUCUUUCGGGCUGUCAUUGGAUUCUCUUUCGUCUAUGUUUAUCAUUUCCAGACUUAGACAUUUGUUUUAGUUAGUUCAUUAGUAUGGGGUUGUAUCUCUUCUUGUUUAGACUUGGUUCAUUAUUAGAUGUUUUGCUACAUUGACUUUUAGGCUCUAGGUUAUUUCUUCCGCAUUGCUUAGUUCAUUGUUAGACUUUUGUUGGAGUUUGUGAGAACUCCCUAUUUCUUUCCUUAGUAUUUAACUUGUUUCCAUAACUUAAAUGCCUUAGUUUUUUGUUUAGUUGAUUUGUUUGGGUUGAAGUAGUGGUUCUCCCACCAGAGGGUUAGUGUGGGUGCCAAUCACGACGAUUUGGGUCGUGACAAAGUUAGUAUCAGAGCCUAGGUUUGUUGAUCUCGAUGUACCAAAACGAGUCUAAUAUAGUCUCGCGGAACGGUACGGGGACGCCUUUACUUUUCUUCGAGAGACUAUAGGACUUUAGGAAAUGUCUUUGUUUUCUCUUGUCUCCUUUCGUGCUGUGACUUGAUUCUAAUUGGUAUCUGACGAUUCAAAUAUGUAUCUAACCUCCUUCACUCUUCUGUUCGCAGAUGGUUAAUACUAGAUUCAACGGUGUUAGGCCCGCAGUUCCUGUCAAUACUCCAGUCAGGGAAUCUGCAGCGAGAGGUCACGGUCGAGACAGAGGUAAAUGAAGAGCUAGGGGUAGAGGUCGUGGAAGAAUAGCGCCUGUUGGAGAUGGAGCUUAUUUUGAGAAUGAUCCUGUGAAUGAGAACCCUCUUGUGCAUCAUGAAGAGAUUGAAGAGGAGAAUAUUGAUGUUGAAGAUGUUGAGGAUGUGGAACAAGAGGAAGAUGUGCAGGUUGGGACUGCAUGUGUUCCUCCUUUGGAUCCAAUGUUGGCUCAACAUAUCAUGUCGUUCUUAAAGGGAUUGAUUGGUCCUGGAGUGCUUCCUUCUGCUCAAGCAACUCAAGCUUCUACUAAUCCUCAUGUUGCUAGCACUGCGCCCAAAGUGGGUGGGACUGGAGGUAAUGAUGCUUUCUUACGUCCUUUGUUGAGUUCUGUUAUGACUGGUAAUGAGCAUGAAAUGUUGACUAAGUUUUUAAAGCUGAAACCUCGUGUUUCUUGGUUCUGAGAGUGAGAAUGCUUAUGAGUUCAUCUUAGAUUGCUAUGAGAGGCUUAAUAAGUUGAGAAUUGUCCAUCAGCAUGGGGUUAAGUUUGUGUCCUUUCAACUUCAAGGUGAGGCUAAGCAGUGGUGGAGAGCUUACACGGAAUGCAGAUCUUCAACUUUACCUCCACUCAUUUGGACCCAGUUUCAUUCUCUGUUUCUAGAGAAGUAUGUGCCUAGGACUUUGAGGGAUCGCAAGAAGGAUGAGUUCAUGGCUUUAGAGCAAGGUGCUAUGAUUGUGGCUGCUUAUGAGGCCAAGUUACGUUCCAUGCUUUGUCUAGAUAUACUACUCAAUUGGUGACUACUGAGGAAGAGAUAAUCGGAUUAUUUAUUAGGGGAUUAAAUUCUGAGUUGCAAGUAAUAUCUGUUCUUAUGACUUCUGCAGGGAGGAGCUUUAAUGAAGUAACAUACUAUGUUGAAAAAGUAGAGGGGGAGAGACAAGACGGUCAAACUAAGGCAUGGGACAAAAAAGCCAAGAACUCGGGUAACUUUCAAGGUUCUUAUUCCAAGGGGUCCAGAAGACCAAGGCUUGUAGCCAAGCCAAUUCAGUCCGCUAUGCCCGCCUCUACAAGUAGUUACUCGGAAACUCCAUCUCAUAAUUUUCAGGAUAGCCAGGGAGAUGCGUCUUUGAUGGGCGGCGGACCAUCUUUUGAUCGUACUUGUUAUAACUGUGGAGAACUUGGGCAUCUGAGGAGAGAUUAUCCUCACCCACGUGUGUUAGAUUCGGCGCAGCAGCAGUCUAUGGCAGUGGUACCCGUGAGAAAUGGUAAUAAUGAUAGAGGACGACCACAAGGUGGGUGAGGAGAUAAUCAGCGAAGUCGUAGAGGUAGAGAAAAUGGUAAUGCAGACAGAGGUAAUGUGCAACCAGGCAGAGAAGUGGUUCGUCAAGAUGAUAGGGCUCAGUGUUAUGCCUUUUGGAGCAGGAAUGAGGUAGAGGCGUCUGACGUGGUGAUCAUAGGUAUUAUUCUUGUCUGUGACCGGAUGGCUAAUGUGUUAUUUAAUCCGGGUUCUACUUAUUCAUAUAUAUCUGUGAGAUUUGCCUCAGAUUUUGAUAUGAUUUGUGAUAUUCUUGAUGCCCUUAUUCGUGUUUCCACCCCAGUUGGAAAGUCAGUCAUAGUUACCCAUGUCUAUCGUGCUUGUCCUAUUAUGUUUAUGGGAUUUUAGACUUAGGUUCAUUUAGUGAUUUUGGAUAUGAUUGACUUUGACAUAAUCUUAAGCAUGACUUAGUUGUCCCCCUAUUAUGUUGUGCUUAAUUGUAAUACUAAGUCUGUAACUCUAGAAAUUCUGGAAAGGGAAAAAUUAGAGUGGGAAGGGGUGUACAAGUCUAAGCAAGCUAAGAUUAUAUCCAUCAUUCGGGCUAGUAAGCUGGUAGAGCAGGGUUGUUUGGCUUAUUUUGCUCAUAUUAGAGAUGUUGAGAUUAAGACUCCAUCCAUUGAGUCUAUUCAUGUGGUGUCUGAAUUUAGUGAAGUGUUUCCUAAUGAUUUGAUUAGUAUGCCUCCGGAUAGAGAUAUAGAUUUUUGCAUUGAUUUAGAGCCUGGUACGCGUCCCAUUUCUAUCCCUCCAUAUCGCAUGUGCUCCGGCAGAAUUAAGAGAGCUUAGGGCUCAAAUCUAAAAACUUCUUGAUAAGAGAUUUAUUCGUCCUAGUGCUUCCCCUUGGGGUGCUCCAGUUUUGUUUGUUAAGAAGAAUGAUGGUAGUAUGAGAAUGUGUAUAGAUUACCGGCAAUUGAAUAGGGUCACUAUUCGAAACAAGUAUCCCUUGCCUCGAAUAGAUAAUCUUUUUGACCAAUUGCAAGGUACAUCAGUUUUCUCUAAAAUUGAUCUAAGGUCUGGCUACCAUCAAUUGAAAAUUAGGCCUGAGGAUAUGCCUAAGACGGCGUUUAGAACCUAUUAUGGGCACUAUGAGUUUUUGGUCAUGUCUUUUGGUUUGACCAAUGCGCAUGCAGCUUUUAUGAGUUUAAUGAAUGAGGUGUUCAAGCCAUUUCUUGAUUCUUUCGUCAUAGUCUUUAUUGAUGAUAUUUUGGUAUAUUCGAAAACUGAGGAAGAUCAUUCCAACCAUCUUCAUAGUGUUUUGGGUGUUCUUGGAAAGCAAAAUCUAUAUGCUAAAUUUUCUAAAUGUGAAUUUUGGUUGAAAUCAGUUGCAUUUUUGGGGCAUGUAGUUUCAAAAGAAGGGGUAAUGGUAGAUCCUCAAAAGAUUGAGGCGGUUAAGAAUUGGGUUUGACCAAGUUCUGUGACUGAAGUUAGGAGUUUUGUGGGGCUCGCUAGCUAUUAUCAUAGAUUUGUGAAGAACUUUGCUUCUAUUGCCACCCACUUGACUAAUUUGACCAAAAAUGAGAUACCAUUUGAAUGGAUUGAAAAGUGUGAUGAGAUCUUUCACAAGAUCAAGACUCUCUUGACCAUCACGCUCAUUCUAGCAUUACCUAUUGAAGGUAAGGAUUUUAUUGUUUAUUGUGAUGCUUCACAUUCUGGUUUGGGUGGUGUGUUAAUGCAGGAUAAGAAUGUUAUAGCCUAUGUGUCACACUAAUUGUGUAACGACCCUAAAAAUGAAAUAGGAAGAACUCGAGCCUCACAUGUGUAGCAAAGUUGGUAACUUGAUUAAAUAAUAUAAAUCGGCUUUUUGAGUUUAGUUCAAAGAGAUUUGGGGUCCGUAGAUGCUGCCAGUUUUUGACAUUUUAAUAUUUAGUUGGGGCUUUGGGAAAUAAUUAGUUAUUAGACUAAGGUCUUAGGGGGUCAGUUAGGAGUUAAUUAAAUGACUUAUAUAAGGUUUUAAGUCUUUUAACAAGUCAUUUACUCUCUUUUCCCAAAAUCAAAAUCCCAAAGUCUACCCUCUCUCUAUAUUUCUCUCUAACUCAAAGAAGAAGAUGAAGUGGGAGCUAGGGUUGAGGAUUUCAUGGUGUUUCUUCUUCAAUUUUCGUGGGAUUCAUGAAGGUUAAGGUAUGGGGAUCCUUUAUCCUUGAUUCCUUUUCCAUUCAAGGAGCCAAAUCAAAGUGUUUUGAAAGUUCUUCAAAAACUCAAUAAAGUCCUAAUUUCGAUUCUAAGCAUUGGUUCUUGCAUUAAAUGAUUUUUAAUGAUGAUUUAUGUUAUUAUUGAUGUUUGUUGAUGGUUUUUAAGAAAGAAAAUUCCAUGAACCCCAUGUCUUUCCAAGUUUCCUAAAUUUCACCAUAAAGUGGGUAUAUUGAUUUUGAUUCGAUGAUAAUAGAAUUAUGUUUAGAUUGUUGUGGGCUGUUGAUUUAUGCCAUUAACUAUAUCUAAUUGUGUGGAAUUGUUAGUGAAUUGAGUAAUUGGGUUCAUAGCCUUGAAUGGGCAUUUUGUGAAUUAAUAUUCAUGAUGAUUAUUGAAUUAUGUUUAGAUUGAAUUAUUUUAUUGGUUUCUAUUGUUAUCUACACCUAUCUUAUGGUGAAUUGUGGUAGAAUUUAGUAAAGGUGAUUAUGGCUUUGGAGAAUGGUAAGUUGACCUAACUUCAUUGUUAAAGUAAAGUUGAUUUAGGAUUGUGAUAGAUUGAUGUGUGAUCCACCUAUGGUGGAGGUGUUUACUAAUUGAAUGUAUUAUGAUCAUGGUCUUAAAUGCAUUAUAUGAAUAAUGAGUACUACCAUGAUAUUGUGUUGUGAAUGUGAUGUGAAGGAGUUGAAUGAGAAUCUAAUAAAGUAAAGGUAAUUAUGUUGUAAAUGCAAGGGUGUUGUGAUCGAAAGCAUGUUUUCUCUUAACACUUAUGAAUGAAGAUGAUGGAAUGUGAUGUGCCUUAUAUUGUUGAAUGUCAUCUCUUGACUUGGUAGACUUAGGUGCUCUUCUUGAUAAAUGAAAAGCUAUGUUGAAUAUAAGUCGAUUGGCAAUGACAUUCCUUUCACAUGUAAGUGAUGAAAUCUGUUUCUGAGUUGGGUAGUGUUUAGUAACUUAUGCAUAUUUCAUUCUCUAGAACUUCGUUUACAAUGAAUAAAUAUGAUUUGGAAAGCUAACUUGUAUACCUACAACUCUUAUGUUUAUGUAAAACUCUAAUUUAACUUUUAUGGACACGAAAUAUGGGACGCAACAUAGGGAAAGUUCUGCCCAUAUUUCGAAAAUUGAAAUCAUGUAUGAUUAGCUGUUAGUGUUUUGAAUAUAUCUUUUUGUACAAAAUAUAUUUUGCGGUGAUUCUUGUUUAUUUUCAACCUUAAGAUAUGUAGUUACAUCUUUCAUGAAGGUUAUAAAGUCUAGUUUUGCCGUUUUCCUUUUCAAAUCUAACUUGCGACUUGAGGUACCAGGCUGG
This 28052-nucleotide long non-coding RNA is filed under the name Solanum tuberosum (potato). RNAcentral describes it as "long non-coding RNA (STUB_LNC010107)". The record is from RNAcentral. Lineage: Eukaryota; Viridiplantae; Streptophyta; Magnoliopsida; Solanales; Solanaceae.